RNAcentral lists this long non-coding RNA (609 nucleotides) under Hordeum vulgare. RNAcentral describes it as "long non-coding RNA (HVUL_LNC006055)". Lineage: Eukaryota; Viridiplantae; Streptophyta; Magnoliopsida; Poales; Poaceae. The record is from RNAcentral.
UGAAACAGAGAUCAUCGGUGUUGGGGACAAGAGACGAAUAUGGACAUGAGGGCGUCGACUUCGAAAACAGACAUGGUGGACGCUCUUCGUCGCUACCGUGAGAUCCUGAGGUGGGAGACCAAUGUGCUAAGGAUUGAGGUCACAUCCCGGGGCCUGGAGACGAUCACCGGAAAGAAGGCUUAUCUACAGCGUCAUAACUCCGACGGAAGAUCACUAGCUCUCGACUCACCUCAGCUAGACGAGCAGCUGUCCGGCCACAAGAUCGCGAGCCUGCCUCUGGUGAGUUUGCCCUACCUCGUCGAUAAUCAUGAGGAGGCCCUCGAUCUGCUCUUGCACGAGGCGCACAAGCUGGGCUACCGGGUCCAAUCCCUACAGGAACUCGGUGUCCCAAUCUCCUUGGAGACGGUCAGAUUACUCUAUCUCGUGUCAAAAAGAUGCACGGAGAUCUCCAGAAACAUAGCGAGGCAUGGGUCGCCAAAUUCAGGCAAAUCUAACUCUCAGGACACUCCCGCAAUUUCCGCUUACAAAGAGCGUCGUGCAAGCUGGGAAUCCAUUUGGGGCAGCCCCGUGUUAAGGUGUGGCGGCUUCAAUGAUAUAAGUAAGCUUCGU